This 206-nucleotide ribosomal RNA is filed under the name uncultured bacterium. RNAcentral describes it as "partial 16S ribosomal RNA". It matches the Rfam family "Bacterial small subunit ribosomal RNA", at positions 1287 to 1500 of the family's 1533-position model. The record is from RNAcentral.
CUCAGUUCGGAUCGGAGUCUGCAACCCGACUCCGUGAAGCUGGAUUCGCUAGUAAUCGCGCAUCAGCCAUGGCGCGGUGAAUACGUUCCCGGGCCUUGUACACACCGCCCGUCAAGCCAUGGAAGCCGGGGGUGCCUGAAGUGUGCAACCGCAAGGAGCGCCCUAAGGUAAAACCGGUGACUGGGGCUAAGUCGUAACAAGGUAAC